Molecule: small RNA, 877 nt
Filed under: Pan troglodytes (chimpanzee)
Lineage: Eukaryota; Metazoa; Chordata; Mammalia; Primates; Hominidae
Description: processed transcript
Source: RNAcentral
AGCCCGUGUUCUGGUACUACGUGAAGGAGGUCCUCAACAAGCACGAGCUGCAGCGCUUCUACUCCCUGCGCCACAUCGCCUCAGACGUGGGCCGGGGCCGCGCCUGGCUGCGCUGUGCCCUCAACGAACACUCCCUGGAGCGCUACCUGCACAUGCUCCUGGCCGACCGCUGCAGGCUGAGCACUUUUUAUGAAGACUGGUCUUUUGUGAUGGAUGAAGAAAGGUCCAGUAUGCUUCCUACCAUGGCAGCAGGUCUGAACUCCAUACUCUUUGCGAUUAACAUCGACAACAAGGAUUUGAACGGGCAGAGUAAGUUUGCUCCCACCGUUUCAGACCUCUUAAAGGAGUCAACGCAGAACAUGACCUCCUUGCUGAAGGAGUCCACGCAAGGAGUGAGCAGCCUGUUCAGGGAGAUCACAGCCUCCUCUGCCGUCUCCAUCCUCAUCAAACCUGAACAGGAGACCGACCCCUUGCCUGUCGUGUCCAGAAAUGUCAGUGCUGAUGCCAAAAGCAAAAAGGAGCGGAAGAAGAAAAAGAAAGUGACCAACAUAAUCUCAUUUGAUGAUGAGGAAGAUGAGCAGAACUCUGGGGACGUGUUUAAAAAGACACCUGGGGCAGGGGAGAGCUCAGAGGACAACUCCGACCGCUCCUCUGUCAAUAUUAUGUCCGCCUUUGAAAGCCCCUUCGGGCCUAACUCCAAUGGAAGUCAGAGCAGCAACUCAUGGAAAAUUGAUUCCCUGUCUUUGAACGGGGAGUUUGGGUACCAGAAGCUUGAUGUGAAAAGCAUCGAUGAUGAAGAUGUGGAUGAAAACGAAGAUGACGUGUAUGGAAACUCAUCAGGAAGGAAGCACAGGGGCCACUCAGAGUCACCCGAGAA